RNAcentral lists this ribosomal RNA (253 nucleotides) under uncultured bacterium. RNAcentral describes it as "partial 16S ribosomal RNA". It matches the Rfam family "Bacterial small subunit ribosomal RNA", at positions 524 to 776 of the family's 1533-position model. The record is from RNAcentral.
UACGGAGGGUGCAAGCGUUAUCCGGAUUCACUGGGCUUAAAGGGUGCGUAGGUGGGCAGUUAAGUCAGUGGUGAAAUCUCCGGGCUCAACCCGGAAACUGCCAUUGAUACUAUCUAUCUUGAAUAUCGUGGAGGUAAGCGGAAUAUGUCAUGUAGCGGUGAAAUGCUUAGAUAUGACAUAGAACACCAAUUGCGAAGGCAGCUUACUACCCGAAUAUUGACACUGAGGCACGAAAGCGUGGGGAGCAAACAGG